RNAcentral lists this long non-coding RNA (2835 nucleotides) under Homo sapiens (human). Its description in RNAcentral is "HSALNT0182919". The record is from RNAcentral. Lineage: Eukaryota; Metazoa; Chordata; Mammalia; Primates; Hominidae.
AUCCUGUUCAGGUUGAGAGGUAUCAGGCUUCAUUUCUUCUGCAAGAGGCACCCUCCCAGGGAAGGCCAGGAUUCUCAGGGCAGAAACCGGAGCCUGGGACCCCUCAUGGGCAAGAAUCUCUGAGUCCUUUGGGAAGUGCAGUGCUAGGAUCAUUUUCCUGUUGUCAGCGGCUCUGGAAGAGGCAUUAGCCCCACAAGGCUUGAUGUGGGAAGUUUUUACAGGUACUGCUCAUCUGGUGGGCAGAUGUAGCUUUGCAGCAAGAUAGAGCUCUGUCUUCCAGAUCGGGGGUGCCUGGGAGUCUUGAGGUAGAACUGGUUCCUCUCUGCUUGGAGCCAGUGUGGGCACACACAUGGGCCUGUCAUCUCCUUCAACAGCCCUGGGAUCGUUGAUCCAAGUUAGAUGGAGUGCCUUUAACCCCUGAAAUUCACAUCCUGGCAAUCAGCUGACCAUGCCUCCAUCAUCUCUGUUCCCCGCAGCCCCGACCUCUGCCAUCCCCCAACACAUAGACACACACAGUGUUAUUUCCAGGGAAGAGGAGGAUAGUCCUGGUCAAUAGCAGUGGACACACUGGAGGUUUCCCCUCAAGGGGGACCUUUAUGCGAAGAUGCUCCCAACCUCAUCACAUCUGGGACCUUUUUGCGAAGAUGCUCCCAACCUCAUCACAUCUGGGACCUUUUUGCGAAGAUGCUCCCAACCUCAUCACAUCUGGCCAAAGUGCUUUUAGUCACAAGCGGCAGAACUCAGUUCACAGGAACACAUAUGAAAAGUGGAUGUAGAGAUAACUAUGAGGGAUAUGAGACUUUAAUUAAGCAAAGUACCCGGCCUCGUCAUUCUCUCUCCUCCUGGGCUGUGGUCUCUUGGCUCAGCCUUUCUCUCUUCGUGACUUUGGUUUGCCUAUGGUUUUAUAACAUGGCCCUAACAAGUAAGUCCUCCUUGAUCAUGACAUUUACUUGAGCUCCCUAUGACCAAACAGAGUCUGCUUUUUAAUUUCAAACUCUUAAGAGAGAAAAACCGGAUGGCUGUUUAUUGCCAACACGUUGGCUGGCCUUGGGUACUUAUUCCUGGUCUAGUUAGCCGCGGCUGAGGAGCAGAGCAUGUGGUAUGAAACACAUAUAAGGUAGCAGGGGCUGAAAGUGGGAAACAACUUCUCUGAGAAGCAACCCAAGCUGGUAUUCCACCCAAGGUGUGCCUGAUGCACCCCCUGUGUGGUUCUGGGAUUCACCCGAGGGACAGGUAAUAGCCGUCCUCAGUGACUGUCUCGGCAGAGGCUGGGCUUGGAGCUCAAAGGCCAGGGAAGCAGCAGGUCCACUGAUGCAGCUGCCACCUCCACAGCAUGCUGGGGACAUGGUGACAUUCUCCUAAGAGCACUUACAGAGACAGUGUCCUGUGAAAGCAGCGCUGGACUGGGAGUUGGCAGUCCUGGCUUGUCAUCCAGCUCGGCUGCUAACCCCCAUGACCCCGGGGAACCGACCUUCUUCCUCUAGGUCUUAGAUUCUCCAGAAGUUAAAAAUGAAUUUAAAAACCAUUGUUAUUAAUAAUAAUAAACAGCAUUGAAUGAAAUCAUCUCCAGGGUUCUUUUCAAUCCCUAAGAUUUCCCUAAGCCUCCCCCAUCUCCACUUGACAACUUCCCAGAAAUGCUUUCAAAUGGAGCUCUUUAACCCAUAAUUUGGUGGGGCCUCUGCCAGCUGCCUCUCUCCCACAACACACCCAGUCCCUGUGAUAAGUCCUCCUCAGGGGCUUUCCAGCCUAGACCUGCAGCUAUUCAAGAAAGUCCAGGCAGGGCCUUCCCGGGCAACUGAUUUCUGAGCUUGUUCGACGGGGAGGAGGGGGUCUGAGCAUUUGCUGUCUGGCCACUCCAAAGAGGGAAGUCUGGGCCUGAAGACGCAUCUACUGGGGGGUUUCCACAUUGAUGAUCAGGGCCUGGGAGGCCAAGAGAAGCUCCAGAAGAAGGGUCAGCAAAAUCCCCAGAGAAACGGGGACUAUGAGUGGAACAGAGCUGGAGAGGAAGAACGGAAAACACUGUGGGUUCCCGGGACGGGGGCAGGGAGGAGGGAAAGUUUGUGUCUUUUGGCAGGAAAUGAAUAACAUUCAAAGAAUAUGCAAAAUGCCAUUCUAAUUGGCACCUGUUCCCUUUGGAGCCAGUCACUCGGCCCACGGCAUCUGAGGGUGAGUCUGGUUUGGGUCUCCCCAGGGGAGGAAUACAGCACAUUGAGAUCCACUUGAAUGAUAAGAGAGGCACUGGUCCUAAGUGGGGUAGAGGAACGGAAGGUACCCUCAGCCUCCAUGGCUCCUUCCCAGCCCCAAAUGCUCUGUCACAACCCCCCCAGCUCAACCCCAGGCAGAUGGCUACAAAUUUUGCAGGGGCCUCUGAGCAUUCCCUUGGCUAACAGCCACAUUCCAGAACAGCAUAUGUUUCAUCUCAAAUCCACAAGGUUUGCACUUCCAAGCGGAGCCAAAGAGAAAAACCUUGGCCCAGGCUGCAAAUUUCUUAGGAGAGGUGGGGGUCAGGGGCGGCCCCCAGGGAGGUUGUAGCUGUUAUGUUGAAGAACAUUUGAGUUCAAGUUCAUGCAAAGCUAGGUCCCAAAUAUAUGACACCCACAUUCCUAAUUCAUAACCCCUCAAAGUACCUACCUGGAGAAGGAGUGAGCAGCGCUGCUUCCUCUUGCUGUCACCCAAAUGGCCCUCAUGCCACCUGCAUGUUCCUCCAGCCCCAUAACAGUUCUGCACCUUUGCCUAACUUCAUGGCCCUUUUGAAUCAGUGAUUCACAGCCCAGGGCUGUGUGGAGUCUGGGUGGGGAGGGAAGAAACAGGGUGACUCCUGAUCUCACUCUACCC